Molecule: microRNA precursor, 90 nt
Filed under: Canis lupus familiaris (dog)
Lineage: Eukaryota; Metazoa; Chordata; Mammalia; Carnivora; Canidae
Also listed under: 1 other name
Description: mir-8799 microRNA precursor family
Rfam family: mir-8799 microRNA precursor family
Source: Rfam by way of RNAcentral
GGGGGGAGGCUGGAUCCUGGGCUGUGUCUCCGCGCCCAGUGCUCCUGGGCCUGCGCUGUUGGAUUCGCGCUCCCGGCCGUGCAGCCCCCU